This 433-nucleotide ribosomal RNA is filed under the name uncultured bacterium. RNAcentral's name for it is "partial 16S ribosomal RNA". It matches the Rfam family "Bacterial small subunit ribosomal RNA", at positions 29 to 507 of the family's 1533-position model. The record is from RNAcentral.
AACGAACGCUGGCGGCAUGCCUAACACAUGCAAGUCGAACGAGACCUUCGGGGCUAGUGGCGCACGGGUGCGUAACGCGUGGUAACCUGCCCUUAGGUUCGGAAUAACUCCCCGAAAGGGGUGCUAAUACCGGAUAAUGUCUUCGGCCCAAAGAUUUAUCGCCUUUGGAUGGGCCCGCGUUGGCUUGGCUAGUUGGGAGGGUAAAAGCCUACCAAGGCGACGAUCCAUAGCUGGUCUGAGAGGCUGAUCAGCCACACUGGGACUGAGACACGGUCCAGACUCCUACGGGAGGCAGCAGUGGGUAAUCUUGGACAAUGGGCGAAAGCCUGAUCCAGCAAUGCCGCGUGAGUGAUGAAGGCCUUAGGGUUGUAAAGCUCUUUUACCCGGGAUGAUAAUGACAGUACCGGGAGAAUAAGCUCCGGCUAACUCCGUG